CAUCGGUUUCGCAUACAGUAAAC
This 23-nucleotide small nuclear RNA is filed under the name Arabidopsis thaliana (thale cress). RNAcentral describes it as "snRNA_02512". Lineage: Eukaryota; Viridiplantae; Streptophyta; Magnoliopsida; Brassicales; Brassicaceae. The record is from RNAcentral.